UUUGCCUUUGUUUGCAGGUACAUAGUUCAAAUGACAAUUUGUGACGACACUAAUCAGGCUACAGUUUUCAUCAUGGGAGAACAAGCAGAGCAACUAUUUAGAAUCAGUUAUGCAAAUUUGGUGAAUAAACGGUUCUACCCAACACACGAAUCUGCACCACCAGAAAUGGAAACAUUCAUCGGCCAAACCUACCUCUUUGAAUUAAAGGUCAAUCUCAAUAGUGAGUUGCUGGUGAGGAACAUCUUCCCAAAUGAGCAAGCUUCUGCGUCAUCAACACAACUUGAUCCAAGUAGUGCGACACCAGAUCGCCUCUCAUAUCACAGAAAGAGAGCCUGGGUUUAACUUUUCAACAGUUCCAAGAUCCAAAAUUUUGGAGACUCUCAGGGAAAAGGGUUGGGCUGGAAACAAAUAGGGUUUAUUUCUGAUUCUGAAAAAAGGGUGAAGAGGUACAUAUUCAAUCUUACCUGCAAUUUCACAUUUGAAACAACUCAUUUUGAGGGUUUCUCUGAUUAAUUUUAUUGUUCCUUCACGUAUUCCAUGUUUUCAACAACUUUUACAUUUAAUGGUUUGCUUACAUUUAUAACAAUAAAUGUCAUUUCACCAAAAACACAACUUAAUUAUUGUGAACAUUAAAUACAGUUUCCCUAAUUUCCUUGCUCAUACUUCUAACUGCAUGUCCAUCUGAUUUCAUUCUGAUUUAAAGUGAUGACUAGACCAAGCAUACAACCACAAUGCUAUCCUCAUCAACAUCAUCACUGCUAGACAAAGAACAAUAUGAAAAAAAGAACGAUUGAGUGAAGCUAAUUCACUCUCUUGUGCAUUUUCUCUAUAGCUACGAUCAUUGUAAUUUAGCUUUUUGGACAAACGCAGCUAACUGAUAAGUUUUCAAUGCAUCUGAAUGAACAUAAUUCGAUGCAUUUUGACUAGCUGCAGCUAUUGUAAUUUAACUUUUUGGACAAACGCAGCUAACUGAUCAGUCAAAAUAUUUUGUACAAUUAGAGUUAUUGCUAGCCCAACUUCAACUAAUGUUAUGAGACUAGCACUUUUUGUCAUAACUCCAAUUAAACAGUUGAAACUCAAUGUAAUAUAUGUGUGUAAAAACUGUUUUACUCUAUCAACAAUGUAUGAUAAUUUAUGCCUCUCAUUUCUUCUUUCUAACUUCAUCGCACACUACAUUUCGAACUUUGCAUGUUGGUGAUGUUACUGCUUCUAUUCGGUCUGCAAUUUAUUUCAUACUUAUCAAUAUUCAUAUUGCAUUGUUGUGUCUCUAAUUGUCUAAUACAUAACAGGUUUGUACUUCAUUUAAUGUUGCCCUUUUACAAUAUUACUAAGCUGGAUUUGCCUUUUUAUGUUAUCAUUUGUUUUUAUAUCUCGCACAAGAAAAUAGUACUCCAAUAUGUAAGUAAUCCAUAAACAAGACUUCCUCAAAAUUCAGGUAUAUCCUUUUAAUCAUUCGUUCUAGCAUCAUUUACAAUUGUCAUUUUAUCCCUUUCUUAACAUAGGUUACUUGAUUUUUAAAUAAGUAACUUUCACUUCAAUUUUUUUUUCUUUGUCCUGUACUCCAUCCAUAUUAACUGAUUUGUUUACCGAUUGAAAUUCAGAUUGAAAUAAACAAAUAUAUGCAGUGCUGCAACUCUUGAAAAACAUCUCUAUUACAAACAUGAGUGAAUUCUAUGCUGUCCACACCAUAUUAAGGCUGCCUGACAGUCAAACUACAAAGAAGCAAGCAUUUGAUGAGCACGGACCACUCUCUCAAGCCAGCACAGAGACUAUCUUUUCCCAAUACAAAAAAUGUUGCUUUAGAUCAUUGAAGAUGAUUUGAAGGCUGAUUAAUUGUGUACUACAAGCAAGUAUGGUAGAUAGCUCCUUCAGAUAAACAAAUCAUUCAAAAGGCAAUUCCUACAUCAUUGCGUCUUACUGCUACAACAGAAUACCAUUGCACAAAUUAUCCAACUUACUCAUGUUGAUGCAAAAAAUCCAUUACAUCAGGACCGAAUUCCAAGACAGCCAACACUCAAAAAACAAAAAACACCACCAUUCCGUGUUGUUCACCUAAGUAACCUCUAUCUGACUUCUUCCUAUUCAUACGAAGCAAUCAAAUUAGGCAACAAGUUAAUGGUGGCGGGAAUGAGGAAGAGAAAUUAGAAAAUAGGAUGGACGUAAUUGUUAAUCUCAAUGAAGAUGGCUUGGAGGAGCAUAGGGUGUUUCAACCCAUGCUUGACAACAAGCUGUUGGAACGUCGAAAAGUUGGACGUUUCAUUGAAACACCCUAUCUUCCUCCAAGUUAUCAUCAUUUAGAUCAACAAUUACCUCCCCCCCAUUCUCUAAUUUCUUCUCCUCAUUACCGCCACCAAUCACUUGCUCCCUAAUCGUACUACCAUUUAUGUACAUACUGAAGGCACUAAAAUCCAUCAAUCCACCGUAAACAAUCAGACAAGAUAUAACAGUUCAAACAUACAAGCUACAAUCCGCAGCACAACUCAACUUACAGCAAAGCAAAACCUCUCAAAUGAAACUGACUCAAAGAAGAUCAACAUGGAAGGAUUUUAUAUAUGCCAAUUACAAGAUUUAUAAAAUCCUUCAGUGUCAACCCUCUUUUCAGUCCUUCUACCUGAAGACUGACAGAUAAAACACACAAUCAUCAACAUCCUGCUCCUUCAAUGCAGCAUCACUCAGAAAUUAGUAAUCAAGACAAGGAACAUCAACUUCAUGCUAUCUUUCUCUUGCAACCUUCUUGAUGAGUCUCUCUUUCUCUGCAUACAGACUUUUCAAACAAGAUCCAUUUAUAUUUCCAAGUUUUAUGAAUCUAUGAAUGUCAACCAGCUUGAGAGCAUAUUGUCUUCCAUUUCAACUUCCAUUAUCGGAUACUCCAUCCACAGCAAAGUGUGGGCACGUUCUCUCUCACUUUCUAAAUCCAAACAAACAUAACAUUGACAUGGAUAAAGCAUACAGUGGCUACCGUUUGUAGUAAUGAUCAUAAACUUUAUGUAUAACACAUUUCCAGUUGUCUUUGUUGUUCUUUUGCAUAUUGUAUUGAUUAUGGAUUUCAGUGAUAUAAUGAAGUAAUACCACUGUUGCUUU
Rosa chinensis is the source of this 3081-nucleotide long non-coding RNA. RefSeq lists it as uncharacterized. The transcript has 12 exons. NCBI's taxonomy places the organism in Eukaryota, Viridiplantae, Streptophyta, Magnoliopsida, Rosales, Rosaceae. The record is from RefSeq and is a predicted model, not a curated record.